This is an RNA transcript of Panicum hallii, 1361 nucleotides long. It is a transcript of the gene named protein STAY-GREEN LIKE, chloroplastic-like, with no coding region annotated. The transcript is spliced from 4 exons. The record is from RefSeq and is a predicted model, not a curated record. NCBI's taxonomy places the organism in Eukaryota, Viridiplantae, Streptophyta, Magnoliopsida, Poales, Poaceae.
CUGGAGGCCUCAAGCUGUCGUCAUUCGUCAACCUUCCACAGCCACAAGCCGAAGCGGCGGACGGUGGCUCUGCGCUUCGACGUCGCCGCAGCAACACCACCAGACACACCUUGCUUUGCCAGUUGACAUGGGGGGCCUUGCUGCUCCUGCAUCCUGAACGAAUCGAUCUGAUCUCCCCAGGUAGCCUCAUGAUAUGCAUGCCAGAUUCCAUCAUCUGAAGCUUUCGUCAAUGGCGGCGCGCGGCGGCGCGCUCUGCUUCUCCUCCUCGUCCGCCGCCGCUGUCACGAGCAGCAGGAGGGCGGGUGGCUGCAGGCCGGAACCGCCGCGUUUCUUGGUCGUCACCUGCGACGCCAGGACAGCGGACGUCUACUCCUCCCUGGCCGCGAAGCUACUGGGUCCUCCCACGACCUUCAACGCGGCGAAGCUCAAGGUGGAGUUCGCCGGGGAGGAGCUGCUGCGGGGCAAGAAGCAGCCUUUCCCCAGAGCCUACACCCUGACCCACUGCGACUUCACGGCCAACCUGACGCUCGCCGUGACCGGUCCCAUGACCAGCGAGCAGCUGCAGAGCUGGCAAUCGACGCUGCAGCGGGACGACGUGGUGGCCGAGUGGAAGGAGGCGGCCGCCGGCGCCGGGGAGAUGACGCUGCACGUGCAUUGCUUCGUCAGCGGCGCCAACCUCCUGCAGGAGCUGGCGGCGGGUUUCAGAUACUACGUCUUCUCCAAGGAGCUGCCGCUGGUCCUCAAGGCUGUGGUUCACGGCGACGCGGCGCUCUUCUCGGAGCGGCCGGAGCUGAUGGAGGCCAAGGUGUGGGUGCACUUCCACUCCAGCUCCCGCAAGUACAACCGGAUAGAGUGCUGGGGGCCUCUCAGGGAGGCCACCAAGAGGAACCUGCUGGAUGGGCGGCUGGACGAACUGCAGAGCGCAAUCACCAGGAGGCGACGCAAGUGGGCGAGCCCAGAGACAAUCUUCAACGCCCUGGUGGCACUUCUCCUUUGACAGACAGAGCAAGUUCAAGGGAUGAGCAGCAUAAUUCUUUUGCUCUGCUGCUGAAUGCUGAUGCUGGCACGUGCAUUCUUCAGUUCCUGUGUUGCCAUUUGCAAUGUGGGUGCUUGCCCCUUUUUCAGGACUGGUGAUUGCUUGCUGCUCCAGUCCAGUAGUUGACAACAUCAAGUUUGGCAAGCGAAUUCUGUAGUAACGUACAAUAUCAAGAAAUCCAGCAGAGGAAGCAAUAUAAUGAUUCAUCAUUCAGCACGAUACGCUAAGCUGAAUGAUGAAGAAAAAAUGCAGUAUCACCUACAUAAACGAUCGAUUGGUUCACAAAAAGGCAAAAAGUGAAGUGGACGGAAUUGGGUUUUCUUUC